UACGUAGGGGGCAAGCGUUGUCCGGAAUCAUUGGGCGUAAAGCGCGUGUAGGCGGCCCGGUAAGUCCGCUGUGAAAGUCGGGGGCUCAACCCUCGAAUGCCGGUGGAUACUGUCGGGCUCGAGUCCGGAAGAGGAGUGUGGAAUUCCUGGUGUAGCGGUGAAAUGCGCAGAGAUCGUAAGGAAGACCAGUGGCGAAGGCGGGUCUCUGGACAGUUCCUGACACUGAGGCACGAAGGCCAGGGGAGCAAACGGG
Molecule: ribosomal RNA, 253 nt
Filed under: uncultured bacterium
Lineage: Bacteria
Description: partial 16S ribosomal RNA
Rfam family: Bacterial small subunit ribosomal RNA
Source: RNAcentral